GUCAUCGACCGGACGGUCGCGACACGGAACUUCGGUUACCGAUCGAGGAAAGUCCGGGCUCCAUAGGGCUGACCGCCAGGUAACUCCUGGGCGCACGAUCCCAUCGGGCUCGCGCGACGGACAGUGCCACAGAGAAUAGACCGCCGAUGGCCGUUGGGAAACCAGCGGAUCAGGUAAGGGUGAAAAGGUGGGGUAAGAGCCCACCGCGCGGCUGGUAACAGACGCGGCAUGGUAAACCCCGGCCGGAGCAAGGCCAAAUAGGCGGCGAGAGACGGCCCGUCUCAACAACGCCGGCGACGCAAGUUACCGGUGAGCCGCGGGUAGGCUGCUAGAGCACACGGGUGACCGUGUGCCGAGAGAAAUGACCGUCCGAGCGCUUCACCGCGCUCGACAGGACCCGGCUUAUAGGUCGAUGACAAUC
This 421-nucleotide RNase P RNA is filed under the name Gemmatimonadota bacterium. RNAcentral describes it as "RNase P RNA component class A". It matches the Rfam family "Bacterial RNase P class A". From Rfam's summary of the family: Ribonuclease P (RNase P) is a ubiquitous endoribonuclease, found in archaea, bacteria and eukarya as well as chloroplasts and mitochondria. Its best characterised activity is the generation of mature 5'-ends of tRNAs by cleaving the 5'-leader elements of precursor-tRNAs. Cellular RNase Ps are ribonucleoproteins. The record is from RNAcentral. Lineage: Bacteria; Pseudomonadati; Gemmatimonadota.